RNAcentral lists this ribosomal RNA (500 nucleotides) under uncultured Myrionecta. RNAcentral describes it as "bacterial SSU rRNA". It matches the Rfam family "Eukaryotic small subunit ribosomal RNA", at positions 1214 to 1767 of the family's 1831-position model. The record is from RNAcentral. Lineage: Eukaryota; Ciliophora; Litostomatea; Cyclotrichida; Mesodiniidae.
CUUACCAGGUCAAGACAUGGGCGUGAUUGACAGGCUAAUGACUUUUCUCGAUUCCAUGGAUGGUGGUGCAUGGUCGCACUUAGUUGGUGCAGUGAUUUGUCAGGUUUAUUCCGGUAACGAACGAGACCUCGGCCUUGUAAAUAGCUAUGCUGCUUACAGGGACAUUGGCGGCUACGCCAAGGAAGCUCGAGGCAAUUGCAGAUCUGGAACGCCCUUAGAUGUCCUGGGUCGCACGCGUGCUGCAAUGACGCCACGAACGAGCUUGCGUGAUGAAAGUUACGCAUAAUCAGCAGUCGGCGUCUUAAGGGAUAGUCUCUUGUAACUGUGGGACUCCAACUAGGAAUGUCUCGUAAGCACAAGUCAACAUCUUGUGUUGAUUACGUCCCUGCUCUUGGUACACACCGCCCGUCGCUCCUACCGAUCGCGUCUUUUUUAAUUUGAUGGACGUAAGGAAGUCAAAUAAACCUGAGCACUAGAGAGAGAGCGACAGGAACUAACUG